Salvia miltiorrhiza (redroot sage) is the source of this 561-nucleotide long non-coding RNA. RefSeq lists it as uncharacterized. NCBI's taxonomy places the organism in Eukaryota, Viridiplantae, Streptophyta, Magnoliopsida, Lamiales, Lamiaceae. The record is from RefSeq and is a predicted model, not a curated record. The transcript has 2 exons.
CAGCUUCCUCAUUAAGCAACACUAUUAUCUUCCUCUAGAAGCUAAACAUUGUUCUCACCCACACUUACCGUCUUCUUUGAAAUUUCACAUCUUUUUUUCACCUUCAACUCCCUAACUAAUUUCAAUCAAGAUUCAAGAAUUUUUAUAACAAUUUUGCUUCCUCAAGGUCUACUCCAAAAUUGAACCACCAAACACAAAGCAAACUACUUAUGAUUCUUUAUAUGUUUAUAUGAUUCUGGAAUUUACACAUGUGGUGUUUAUUGUAAGAAAUACACAGAUAGGCAAUUACAAAUCUUGAUGAAUAUAAACUCUUAUAUGAAAUCCUACAACUGUUGUCGUUUUGAAUCGUGGCUGAGCCCCUAUGUAGAUGUAUGUGUGAGUGUCGAGAUCGGGGAGGCGGCAGCCCGAUGACUCGUCGUCGGUAGGCGGCUGAGGCAUGAUGGCGGCAGAGCCGCCACUGUUUCUGUUCGGCCGAAAGGGGAGAAAGGGAAGGGGAUAGAAGAUUUCAGUUUUUCGUUGAAUAAAAGAGAUGAUUAGGGCUUCAAUUUAGAAAGAAAGAAA